This is an RNA transcript of Tribolium castaneum (red flour beetle), 13026 nucleotides long. It is a transcript of the gene named putative polypeptide N-acetylgalactosaminyltransferase 9, with no coding region annotated. Lineage: Eukaryota; Metazoa; Arthropoda; Insecta; Coleoptera; Tenebrionidae. The transcript has 9 exons. The record is from RefSeq and is a predicted model, not a curated record.
CUAGAAACACGUCCAAUGUCCCACGAUUGAAAUUAAUUUAUUCAAAUUGGAAUAAUCACAAAAUGUCUAAAGCUGACAUUAUUGAAAUACACAAUUCAGCAAACAAUGGUAAAGCAGAAACCCACAGAGACUUAUGGAAUAAACUGGUAAAAGAAACGGACGAUUUGAAACGCGAGGUGGAAGAAUAUAAGCGUUCUAAAACCCCAGUUCUGGAUCCUCCCCCACAUCCUGUUAUUGAUUAUUUAAACGAGACCAUUUUCCCGGUCCUCAACUGCGGCUUAAUAAAAAUGCUUGAAAAAGUGAAGGAGCAAGAAAGCGAAAUUUUUACAGAAGGUGACACUUAUCUCAACAGUCUUAACUUUAUCGCAGAGUAUCUCUGGAACAUGAAUCCUAGACAUCCACAAAGAAAAGAAAAUUGGACACCUAUUACUAACAUUUUUGGAAAUAAUAAAUAGCUAAUUAUUACUACACUGACGAAAGUUUUACAUUCUUGUAAAGACUAAUUUUCGGCAAUUCUUGCAUGUUUGGUUGGAAAGUGACAGUGGGUGUCUCACCCUCUUCCGCAACCCUGUAUUUCCCCGUCUUCGUUUUGUGAUAAAUAAUCUCCAACUUCAAAUCAUGUACAUCCUCCCCUUUAGCUUUGUUUUCUCGCAUCAACACGUCUUUCAUCAAAGGAGGAAACUCCAUAGUCCUUUGUAAAAUCUUAAUGUCGCGCUUUGCUUCAACCUUGCUGGUAUAUUUAUGCUCCUCAUCCUUUGGUAUUAACUGAUAAUCCGCUUUGUAACUGGUGGACUCGAUUGUUAUAGGUUUAGGAUAGGUUAUGCCCCUAAACGUUUUCUCAACCAGGACUCGAACUUUACGUUGGUCCUUAAAACAAGGAUUAGUGCUACGUGGCUGAAAGCAUCACCCUUACAUCCAUCGUUUGCACUUCAGGACAAGCCAAAGGCUCGACCUUCAAGAUUUUGAAAAAACUUGUCUCAGGAUAUCUCUCAAACGUGCUCCUUAUAACUAAUCGGCCCAUACCGAAGUUUUUCAAGUUUCCGAUAAUUUCCCACAAGGUUUUGCCCUUGUAACUGGUGGUUCUGCCUAUGUAUUUGUACGGCAUUUUAUUUUUUCUUUAAACUUUGUGAAAAUAUUUUUUUAGGUUAGGAAAGUGCAAAAGUGAGGUUAGGCCUACAAAUAUGGUGAACAAGUCGUAAGGGCAUACUCUACAAGUUUACAAGACAAUCUACAAGAAAACCACCAUUGAAAAAAUUACCAGGUUAGCAAAAUUUUACUCGGAAUCGGUUUACACAGCUCCAGUGCUACACCAAGACGGAUUUUAAUUGAAGCUGCAUACAGCCCCACAUUACGUUUGACCAAGUUAUUACAGUUGGUUGCAAUAAAAACCGAAAAUGUCUUAGCAAGAUUUAUUAAUUUGAAUACGUCUUGUUUUCUGAACUGGUUGGAAUUGUAUCCUGAUUUUGGUUAUAAUUGAAGAGUGUACGCUUAUCGCAUUUUAUGGUACUGAAAGGAUAAAAUCCGACUUUGAAUUCAUGUUGGACCCAUUUGCUGGUCACGUUCUUUGUUGCUGACUGGAAUUUUCACAUGGGCUUCGAUUGUCAUACAGAGUAUGAAUUUGUUGAAGACCCAGAAUGAAUAUUUGUUCUGGAUGUACAGUAAAAGUGGUGAGAUCCGUCGAGACGAGGCCUGCCUUGACUACAGCGGUCAAGAGGUGAUUCUGUACCCGUGUCACGGCAGCAAGGGCAACCAAUUUUGGGAUUACAACGCCAACAGCAAACUUUUAAGGCAUGGAAGUAGCGAUAAAUGUUUGGCCAUAAACGAAGCGAAAAAUAAACUACUAAUGGAGCCCUGCGACGAAGAGGCCACAAGGCAACACUGGUCGUUGGAGAACUACGACGCCAGCAAAUUGUGAUUGUUUUAGUUUAUGUGUGUGUGGCAAAAAGACGAGUAAAGUAAGUGUACAAAAGUUUUGUAUAAAUGAUCGGUUUUGCAGUUUUAUAACGAAUUGUAGAUUCUAGCAACGACUGUGUCUAUCAAUAUCUACAUAUCCAAUUGUUUUAGCGCUCAAUUGUUACAUUCCUUUACUUAAGACUGUAAAUAACUGGUUACAUAUCCAACAAAUAUCAUUUAAGCAAGCGGCCUGUGUAUAUAAUAACAAUUGAAAAGUACUUAAUUUCAUGGCAAAUUAUUUUCGAAAACGAUCAUGUGAUAAUUAGUCCUUUAAUUAUGUAAAUAAUUAUAUUAUUUGCUCAAUUUCGUUCCCUUUUACGUCAAUUACUCUUCAAAGGGCCAUAAAGCAGCGUUAUGUAAAUAACUCGCAGUAUUUUAUCCUGAUUUUAUUAUUACAUAAUCAUAAUGUACUUAAUAUAGUGUACUAGACAUGUAAAUGUAGGCCAGUGUAUGUAUUUUUAUAACGUGCCUUAUUUGUGUAUAUAAAACGUUAAUAACAUUAUGUUGAAAUCACCCCACAUCAAUUAUGUCUGCGACAGUACUCUGCUGGAGCGAGAUAAACUUAUACCGCUGUCGUAGAACAGAGCGAGACACAAAAUGUGUAUUACUGGUUGCCGGUAAGUUGGCGUUUAUUUUAUUAAAUUUAUUCUAGUAUAACCGGAAGAGUAAUUACUGAAUUUUUAACGUUGGAAAAAUUAUAUUGAAAUCAACAUCCCCCUUUUUUUAAGAAAAUACUCAGUUAAGCGAGAUCAACUUAUAGGUGUGUUGAAAGCUAAGGUGUGACACUGGUGUACUACUGGUUGCCUAUAAUUCUAUGUUUCGUGACGAUGUAAUGUAAUGUCAUCAACUGUCAAUUGUUUUUAAAAAUUUAAUUUAAAUCAAUUUAAUUUAAAAUAAAGCUAGCCCCAAUAAUAUUUUUCAUUAAAAAAUUAAAAUUCGGUCCUGUACAUCAUCGACACACGAUUAACUGUGAUUUUCAGAUUGGUAGUAUGACAAAUUUUGGUGCGAAAAUUAGUUGUAGCGUAUUUUAAUUAUGUUUUAUUAGCUAUAAACUUGUCCAAAAUAGCUUAAAAGGUGACAAAUAUGUUUGACUACAAAUUGACGAAUUAAUUUUCACACAACUGGUAAGUUUUAUCUAAAUACACAAUAACCGGCCCUCGUAUACGAUUUUAAACCACCCUCGUAUACAAUGAUUUCGUGUUGGCGCGCUUAAUUUCCACUAAAUACGUCACGAAAGUGACCAGGUUAUUGAUUUUCUCGAACCCCAAAUACGGGGGCAGUUUUAAAAAUGCUUGAAAUAUUAACUUUGUGGUGAAAAAGUGUCUUGCAGGACAAUUUUUCGAGUCUCAACACCCAGUGUGGCCACGCGUUAGAGGGCUGUUUGAAAUAAAUAUAAUUUUCGAUUUUUAAAAUGCAUUUAAUUUAAUGGCGGGAACAAUAAUUUUUGGGGCGCCCUCAUAUAAUGUGUUUUCAAAGUUGGUAGACUUGGUUUCCACUAAAACGUCACAAACGUCACGCGAUCGAUUUUCUGCUACGGGGGCGUUCUAAAAGUUAUUUAAAUUCUGGCUUUGGGGUAAAUAAAUGGUUUGCAGGACAUUUUUUAUAUUCUCAACCCCUUUGUUACACGCAGUGUGUCCACGUGUUAAAGGGCUGCUUGAAAAAAAUGUAAUUUUCUAUUUUUAAAAUGAAUAAAUUUAGUGUGCGGGCGAUGAAAUUUUUGAGGCGCCCUCGUAAACGGUGCAAAUUUGUCCGAACACGUGUACUUUUUUUGACAAGUACGUCAACUGUUGCGUGAGAGCGGCAGUUUUCGGGCGGCGGCCGGAGCGGUCGGACGUGUGUCUGUGCGUGCGUCUUGUUCGUUAAAUUAUUAAAUAAAUUAUUAAACCGCGACCGCGACGCGAAUUAAUUAAAGUGGUGCUGUGCUGUGCUGUGUUGUGCUGCGAAAUUUUAAGGAUAUUUUGUACAAAGGACCGUUUAACCGCAAAAAUUUUUAUCACAUGUGUUACUUCCACCUUCAAGGGUUGCCCAACACGAAUGCAAAGAUUGCAUUAAACAGUCGUUCAUUGCAAUUUCCACUUGGAGUUAUGAAUUUUGAGAGCUCAAAAGCUGGUGCCUGUGUUGAAUUGCUUUACAAACUGUUGCGGCCUGCGGGAUUCGGAGGAUUUCAAAGGCGUUCUUCGUCUGGUUCUUCAGAAAUUAUUUUUUAACUGACAAUAAUUAUCAUUAAACGUUGUUAUAUUUGUGUGAUUGAUUAUGUUUUUUUUAAUAAACGCUAAGGAAAUGUGUCUUUUAUUGGGGGGCAAAUACAAGUUCAAUAAAUUAUAGGCAUUUUUGAGCUAAAAAAAAUAAAUAGAAGAAAAAGGUAAGUGGAAAAAUAAUGUACAAUUACAGUGUUUAAAAAAAUCGCGCUAAAUCAAAUUAUUUUAAAUCGGUUUUUCCGCGCUAAACUAGAUUUAAAAGGUUUGUGAAUACGUGUUGUCAAUCAUUAUGAAAUUAAAAAUCGUACUAAACCGGUAAUUUAAAAAAUGGCGCGGACACGUGCACUUAAACGGUAAAUAAAUUUAAAAAAUGGCGCGGACAGGUGCUAAUUGGUAAAUAAAUUUAAAAAAAAUGGCGCGGACACGUGCUAAUUGGUAAAUAAAUUUAAAAAAAAAAUGGCGCGGACAUGUGCACUUGAACGGUAAAUAAAUUAAAAAAAAUCGUGCGGACACGUGCACUAAAUCGGUAUAUAAAAAAAAUGGCGCGGACACGUGCUAAUAGGUAAAUAAAUUUAAAAAAAAAUGGCGCGGACAUGUGCACUUGAACGGUAAAUAAAUUAAAAAAAAUCGCGCGGACACGUGCACUAAAUCGGUAAAUAAAAAAAAUGGCGCGGACACGUGCUAAUAGGUAAAUAAAUUUAAAAAAAAAUGGCGCGGACAUGUGCACUUGAACGGUAAAUAAAUUAAAAAAAAUCGUGCGGACACGUGCACUAAAUCGGUAUAUAAAAAAAUGGCGCGGACACGUGCACUUAAACGGUAAAUAAAUUAAAAAAAUCGCGCGGACACGUGCACUUAAUCGGUAAAUAAAAAAAAAUGGCGCGGACACGUGCACUAAAUCGGUAAAUAAAUUUAAAAAAUCGCGCGGACACGUGCACUAAAUCGGUAAAUAAAAAAAAUGGCGCGGACAGGUGCUAAUUGGUAAAUAAAUUUAAAAAAAAUGGCGCGGACAUGUGCACUUGAACGGUAAAUAAAUUAAAAAAAAUCGUGCGGACACGUGCACUAAAUCGGUAUAUAAAAAAAAUGGCGCGGACACGUGCUAAUAGGUAAAUAAAUUUAAAAAAAAAUGGCGCGGACAUGUGCACUUGAACGGUAAAUAAAUUAAAAAAAAUCGCGCGGACACGUGCACUAAAUCGGUAAAUAAAAAAAAUGGCGCGGACACGUGCUAAUAGGUAAAUAAAUUUAAAAAAAAAUGGCGCGGACAUGUGCACUUGAACGGUAAAUAAAUUAAAAAAAAUCGCGCGGACACGUGCACUAAAUCGGUAAAUAAAAAAAAUGGCGCGGACAUGUGCACUUGAACGGUAAAUAAAUUAAAAAAAAUCGUGCGGACACGUGCACUAAAUCGGUAUAUAAAAAAAAUGGCGCGGACACGUGCUAAUAGGUAAAUAAAUUUAAAAAAAAAUGGCGCGGACAUGUGCACUUGAACGGUAAAUAAAUUAAAAAAAAUCGCGCGGACACGUGCACUAAAUCGGUAAAUAAAAAAAAUGGCGCGGACACGUGCUAAUAGGUAAAUAAAUUUAAAAAAAAAUGGCGCGGACAUGUGCACUUGAACGGUAAAUAAAUUAAAAAAAAUCGCGCGGACACGUGCACUAAAUCGGUAAAUAAAAAAAAUGGCGCGGACACGUGCUAAUAGGUAAAUAAAUUUAAAAAAAAAUGGCGCGGACAUGUGCACUUGAACGGUAAAUAAAUUAAAAAAAAUCGUGCGGACACGUGCACUAAAUCGGUAUAUAAAAAAAAUGGCGCGGACACGUGCUAAUAGGUAAAUAAAUUUAAAAAAAAAUGGCGCGGACAUGUGCACUUGAACGGUAAAUAAAUUAAAAAAAAUCGCGCGGACACGUGCACUAAAUCGGUAAAUAAAAAAAAUGGCGCGGACAUGUGCACUUGAACGGUAAAUAAAUUAAAAAAAAUCGUGCGGACACGUGCACUAAAUCGGUAAAUAAAAAAAAUGGCGCGGACAUGUGCACUUGAACGGUAAAUAAAUUAAAAAAAAUCGUGCGGACACGUGCACUAAAUCGGUAUAUAAAAAAAAUGGCGCGGACACGUGCUAAUAGGUAAAUAAAUUUAAAAAAAAAUGGCGCGGACAUGUGCACUUGAACGGUAAAUAAAUUAAAAAAAAUCGCGCGGACACGUGCACUAAAUCGGUAAAUAAAAAAAAUGGCGCGGACACGUGCUAAUAGGUAAAUAAAUUUAAAAAAAAAUGGCGCGGACAUGUGCACUUGAACGGUAAAUAAAUUAAAAAAAAUCGUGCGGACACGUGCACUAAAUCGGUAUAUAAAAAAAAUGGCGCGGACACGUGCUAAUAGGUAAAUAAAUUUAAAAAAAAAUGGCGCGGACAUGUGCACUUGAACGGUAAAUAAAUUAAAAAAAAUCGCGCGGACACGUGCACUAAAUCGGUAAAUAAAAAAAAUGGCGCGGACACGUGCUAAUAGGUAAAUAAAUUUAAAAAAAAAUGGCGCGGACAUGUGCACUUGAACGGUAAAUAAAUUAAAAAAAAUCGUGCGGACACGUGCACUAAAUCGGUAUAUAAAAAAAUGGCGCGGACACGUGCACUUAAACGGUAAAUAAAUUAAAAAAAUCGCGCGGACACGUGCACUUAAUCGGUAAAUAAAAAAAAAUGGCGCGGACACGUGCACUUAAUCGGUAAAUAAAUUAAAAAAAUCGCGCGGACACGUGCACUAAAUCGGUAAAUAAAUUUAAAAAAUCGCGCGGACACGUGCACUAAAUCGGUAAAUAAAAAAAAUGGCGCGGACACGUGCUAAUUGGUAAAUAAAUUUAAAAAAAAUGGCGCGGACACGUGCUAAUUGGUAAAUAAAUUUAAAAAAAAAAUGGCGCGGACAUGUGCACUUGAACGGUAAAUAAAUUAAAAAAAAUCGUGCGGACACGUGCACUAAAUCGGUAUAUAAAAAAAAUGGCGCGGACACGUGCUAAUAGGUAAAUAAAUUUAAAAAAAAAUGGCGCGGACAUGUGCACUUGAACGGUAAAUAAAUUAAAAAAAAUCGCGCGGACACGUGCACUAAAUCGGUAAAUAAAAAAAAUGGCGCGGACACGUGCUAAUAGGUAAAUAAAUUUAAAAAAAAAUGGCGCGGACAUGUGCACUUGAACGGUAAAUAAAUUAAAAAAAAUCGCGCGGACACGUGCACUAAAUCGGUAAAUAAAAAAAAUCGUGCGGACACGUGCACUAAAUCGGUAUAUAAAAAAAAUGGCGCGGACACGUGCUAAUAGGUAAAUAAAUUUAAAAAAAAAUGGCGCGGACAUGUGCACUUAAACGGUAAAUAAAUUAAAAAAAUCGCGCGGACACGUGCACUUAAUCGGUAAAUAAAAAAAAAUGGCGCGGACACGUGCACUUAAUCGGUAAAUAAAUUAAAAAAAUCGCGCGGACACGUGCACUAAAUCGGUAAAUAAAUUUAAAAAAUCGCGCGGACACGUGCACUAAAUCGGUAAAUAAAAAAAAUGGCGCGGACACGUGCUAAUUGGUAAAUAAAUUUAAAAAAAAAUGGCGCGGACAUGUGCACUUGAACGGUAAAUAAAUUUAAAAAAAAUCGUGCGGACACGUGCACUAAAUCGGUAUAUAAAAAAAUGGCGCGGACACGUGCACUUAAACGGUAAAUAAAUUAAAAAAAUCGCGCGGACACGUGCACUUAAUCGGUAAAUAAAAAAAAAUGGCGCGGACACGUGCACUUAAUCGGUAAAUAAAUUAAAAAAAUCGCGCGGACACGUGCACUAAAUCGGUAAAUAAAAAAAAUGGCGCGGACACGUGCUAAUUGGUAAAUAAAUUUAAAAAAAAAUGGCGCGGACAUGUGCACUUGAACGGUAAAUAAAUUUAAAAAAAAUCGUGCGGACACGUGCACUAAAUCGGUAUAUAAAAAAAUGGCGCGGACACGUGCACUUAAACGGUAAAUAAAUUAAAAAAAUCGCGCGGACACGUGCACUUAAUCGGUAAAUAAAAAAAAAUGGCGCGGACACGUGCACUUAAUCGGUAAAUAAAUUAAAAAAAUCGCGCGGACACGUGCACUUAAUCGGUAAAUAAAAAAAAAUGGCGCGGACACGUGCACUUAAUCGGUAAAUAAAUUAAAAAAAUCGCGCGGACACGUGCACUAAAUCGGUAAAUAAAUUUAAAAAAUCGCGCGGACACGUGCACUAAAUCGGUAAAUAAAAAAAAUGGCGCGGACACGUGCUAAUUGGUAAAUAAAUUUAAAAAAAAAUGGCGCGGACAUGUGCACUUGAACGGUAAAUAAAUUUAAAAAAAAUCGUGCGGACACGUGCACUAAAUCGGUAUAUAAAAAAAUGGCGCGGACACGUGCACUUAAACGGUAAAUAAAUUAAAAAAAUCGCGCGGACACGUGCACUUAAUCGGUAAAUAAAAAAAAAUGGCGCGGACACGUGCACUUAAUCGGUAAAUAAAUUAAAAAAAUCGCGCGGACACGUGCACUUAAUCGGUAAAUAAAAAAAAAUGGCGCGGACACGUGCACUUAAUCGGUAAAUAAAUUAAAAAAAUCGCGCGGACACGUGCACUAAAUCGGUAAAUAAAUUUAAAAAAUCGCGCGGACACGUGCACUAAAUCGGUAAAUAAAAAAAAUGGCGCAGACACGUGCUAAUUGGUAAAUAAAUUUAAAAAAAAAUGGCGCGGACAUGUGCACUUGAACGGUAAAUAAAUUAAAAAAAAUCGUGCGGACACGUGCACUAAAUCGGUAUAUAAAAAAAAAUGGCGCGGACACGUGCACUUAAACGGUAAAUAAAUUAAAAAAAUCGCGCGGACACGUGCACUUAAUCGGUAAAUAAAAAAAAAUGGCGCGGACACGUGCACUUAAUCGGUAAAUAAAUUAAAAAAAUCGCGCGGACACGUGCACUAAAUCGGUAAAUAAAAAAAAUGGCGCGGACACGUGCUAAUUGGUAAAUAAAUUUUAAAAAAAUGGCGCGGACAUGUGCACUUGAACGGUAAAUAAAUUAAAAAAAAUCGUGCGGACACGUGCACUAAAUCGGUAUAUAAAAAAAAUGGCGCGGACACGUGCACUUAAACGGUAAAUAAAUUAAAAAAUCGCGCGGACACGUGCACUUAAUCGGUAAAUAAAAAAAAAUGGCGCGGACACGUGCACUUAAUCGGUAAAUAAAUUAAAAAAAUCGCGCGGACACGUGCACUAAAUCGGUAAAUAAAUUUAAAAAAUCGCGCGGACACGUGCACUAAAUCGGUAAAUAAAAAAAAUGGCGCGGACACGUGCUAAUUGGUAAAUAAAUUUAAAAAAAAUGGCGCGGACACGUGCUAAUUGGUAAAUAAAUUAAAAAAAAUGGCGCGGACACGUGCACUUAAUCGGUAAAUAAAUUAAAAAAAUCGCGCGGACACGUGCACUUAAUCGGUAAAUAAAAAAAAUGGCGUGGACACGUGUUACUCGGUAAAUAAAUUUUAAAAAAAUGCCGCGGACACGUGCUGCGGACACGUGCUAAUUGGUAAAUAAAUUUUAAAAAAAUGGCGCGGACACGUGCACUUAAUCGGUAAAUGAAAAAAAAUGGCGCGACACGUGCUAAUUGGUAAAUAAAUUUAAAAAAUCGCGCGGACACGUGCACUAAAUCGGUAAAUAAAAAAAAUGGCGUGGACACGUGUUACUCGGUAAAUAAAUUUUAAAAAAAUGCCGCGGACACGUGCACUUAAUCGGUAAAUAAAUUUAAAAAAUGGCGCGGACACGUGCACUUAAACGGUAAAUAAAUUUAAAAAAUCGCGCGGACACGUGCACUUAAACGGUAAAUAAAUUUAAAAAAUGGCGCGGACACGUGCACUUAAACGGUAAAUAAAUUUAAAAAAUGGCGCGGACACGUGCACUUAAUCGGUAAAUAAAUUAAAAAAAUCGCGCGGACACGUGCACUUAAUCGGUAAAUAAAAAAAAAUGGCGCGGACACGUGCACUUAAUCGGUAAAUAAAUUUAAAAAAUCGCGCGGACACGUGCACUUAAUCGGUAAAUAAAAAAAAUGGCGUGGACACGUGUUACUCGGUAAAUAAAUUUUAAAAAAAUGCCGCGGACACGUGCUGCGGACACGUGCUAAUUGGUAAAUAAAUUUUAAAAAAAUGGCGCGGACACGUGCUGCGGACACGUGCUAAUUGGUAAAUAAAUUUAAAAAAAAUGGCGCGGACACGUGCUAAUCGGUAAAUAAAUUUUAAAAAAAUGGCGCGGACACGUGCUGCGGACACGUGCUAAUUGGUAAAUAAAUUUUAAAAAAAUGGCGCGGACACGUGCACUUAAUCGGUAAAUAAAUUUAAAAAAUCGCGCGGACACGUGCACUUAAUCGGUAUACAAAAAAAAAUGGCGCGGACACGUGCACUUAAACGGUAAAUAAAUUAAAAAAAUCGCGCGGACACGUGCACUUAAUCGGUAAAUAAAUUUAAAAAAUCGCGCGGACACGUGCACUUAAUCGGUAAAUAAAUUUAAAAAAUCGCGCGGACACGUGCACUUAAUCGGUAAAUAAAAAAAAUGGCGCGGACUAAAAAAAAAUGGCGCGGACACGUGCACUUAAUCGGUAAAUAAAUUUAAAAAAUCGCGCGGACACGUGCACUUAAUCGGUAAAUAAAUUUAAAAAAUCGCGCGGACACGUGCACUAAAUCGGUAAAUAAAAAAAAUCGUGCGGACACGUGCACUAAAUCGGUAUAUAAAAAAAAUGGCGCGGACACGUGCUAAUAGGUAAAUAAAUUUAAAAAAAAAUGGCGCGGACAUGUGCACUUAAACGGUAAAUAAAUUAAAAAAAUCGCGCGGACACGUGCACUUAAUCGGUAAAUAAAAAAAAAUGGCGCGGACACGUGCACUUAAUCGGUAAAUAAAUUAAAAAAAUCGCGCGGACACGUGCACUAAAUCGGUAAAUAAAUUUAAAAAAUCGCGCGGACACGUGCACUAAAUCGGUAAAUAAAAAAAAUGGCGCGGACACGUGCUAAUUGGUAAAUAAAUUUAAAAAAAAAUGGCGCGGACAUGUGCACUUGAACGGUAAAUAAAUUUAAAAAAAAUCGUGCGGACACGUGCACUAAAUCGGUAUAUAAAAAAAUGGCGCGGACACGUGCACUUAAACGGUAAAUAAAUUAAAAAAAUCGCGCGGACACGUGCACUUAAUCGGUAAAUAAAAAAAAAUGGCGCGGACACGUGCACUUAAUCGGUAAAUAAAUUAAAAAAAUCGCGCGGACACGUGCACUAAAUCGGUAAAUAAAAAAAAUGGCGCGGACACGUGCUAAUUGGUAAAUAAAUUUAAAAAAAAAUGGCGCGGACAUGUGCACUUGAACGGUAAAUAAAUUUAAAAAAAAUCGUGCGGACACGUGCACUAAAUCGGUAUAUAAAAAAAUGGCGCGGACACGUGCACUUAAACGGUAAAUAAAUUAAAAAAAUCGCGCGGACACGUGCACUUAAUCGGUAAAUAAAAAAAAAUGGCGCGGACACGUGCACUUAAUCGGUAAAUAAAUUAAAAAAAUCGCGCGGACACGUGCACUUAAUCGGUAAAUAAAAAAAAAUGGCGCGGACACGUGCACUUAAUCGGUAAAUAAAUUAAAAAAAUCGCGCGGACACGUGCACUAAAUCGGUAAAUAAAUUUAAAAAAUCGCGCGGACACGUGCACUAAAUCGGUAAAUAAAAAAAAUGGCGCGGACACGUGCUAAUUGGUAAAUAAAUUUAAAAAAAAAUGGCGCGGACAUGUGCACUUGAACGGUAAAUAAAUUUAAAAAAAAUCGUGCGGACACGUGCACUAAAUCGGUAUAUAAAAAAAUGGCGCGGACACGUGCACUUAAACGGUAAAUAAAUUAAAAAAAUCGCGCGGACACGUGCACUUAAUCGGUAAAUAAAAAAAAAUGGCGCGGACACGUGCACUUAAUCGGUAAAUAAAUUAAAAAAAUCGCGCGGACACGUGCACUUAAUCGGUAAAUAAAAAAAAAUGGCGCGGACACGUGCACUUAAUCGGUAAAUAAAUUAAAAAAAUCGCGCGGACACGUGCACUAAAUCGGUAAAUAAAUUUAAAAAAUCGCGCGGACACGUGCACUAAAUCGGUAAAUAAAAAAAAUGGCGCAGACACGUGCUAAUUGGUAAAUAAAUUUAAAAAAAAAUGGCGCGGACAUGUGCACUUGAACGGUAAAUAAAUUAAAAAAAAUCGUGCGGACACGUGCACUAAAUCGGUAUAUAAAAAAAAAUGGCGCGGACACGUGCACUUAAACGGUAAAUAAAUUAAAAAAAUCGCGCGGACACGUGCACUUAAUCGGUAAAUAAAAAAAAAUGGCGCGGACACGUGCACUUAAUCGGUAAAUAAAUUAAAAAAAUCGCGCGGACACGUGCACUAAAUCGGUAAAUAAAAAAAAUGGCGCGGACACGUGCUAAUUGGUAAAUAAAUUUUAAAAAAAUGGCGCGGACAUGUGCACUUGAACGGUAAAUAAAUUAAAAAAAAUCGUGCGGACACGUGCACUAAAUCGGUAUAUAAAAAAAAUGGCGCGGACACGUGCACUUAAACGGUAAAUAAAUUAAAAAAUCGCGCGGACACGUGCACUUAAUCGGUAAAUAAAAAAAAAUGGCGCGGACACGUGCACUUAAUCGGUAAAUAAAUUAAAAAAAUCGCGCGGACACGUGCACUAAAUCGGUAAAUAAAUUUAAAAAAUCGCGCGGACACGUGCACUAAAUCGGUAAAUAAAAAAAAUGGCGCGGACACGUGCUAAUUGGUAAAUAAAUUUAAAAAAAAUGGCGCGGACACGUGCUAAUUGGUAAAUAAAUUAAAAAAAAUGGCGCGGACACGUGCACUUAAUCGGUAAAUAAAUUAAAAAAAUCGCGCGGACACGUGCACUUAAUCGGUAAAUAAAAAAAAUGGCGUGGAC